GACGAACGCUGGCGGCGUGCUUAACACAUGCAAGUCGAACGGAAAGGCCCUGCCUUUGUGGGGUGCUCGAGUGGCGAACGGGUGAGUAACACGUGAGUAACCUGCCCUUGACUUUGGGAUAACUUCAGGAAACUGGGGCUAAUACCGGAUAGGAGCUCCUGCUGCAUGGUGGGGGUUGGAAAGUUUCGGCGGUUGGGGAUGGACUCGCGGCUUAUCAGCUUGUUGGUGGGGUAGUGGCUUACCAAGGCUUUGACGGGUAGCCGGCCUGAGAGGGUGACCGGCCACAUUGGGACUGAGAUACGGCCCAGACUCCUACGGGAGGCAGCAGUGGGGAAUAUUGCACAAUGGGCGGAAGCCUGAUGCAGCAACGCCGCGUGCGGGAUGACGGCCUUCGGGUUGUAAACCGCUUUCGCCUGUGACGAAGCGUGAGUGACGGUAAUGGGUAAAGAAGUACCGGCUAACUACGUG
RNAcentral lists this ribosomal RNA (468 nucleotides) under uncultured bacterium. Its description in RNAcentral is "partial 16S ribosomal RNA". It matches the Rfam family "Bacterial small subunit ribosomal RNA", at positions 28 to 507 of the family's 1533-position model. The record is from RNAcentral.